AGAAUAUAGUAGUAAAUGCCGAAGACAGCAGGUGCUGUGGAAACAGCGUAAGGACAAGACGCCUGCCGAGGAAAAGAGUUUAUUUGGUAUGACUUUAUGCCUUUCUGUCUUUGGAACAUUAUGGACAGGAAGGUUUUUAUAUUAUACU
Molecule: regulatory RNA element, 148 nt
Organism: Lachnospiraceae bacterium 28-4
Lineage: Bacteria; Bacillati; Bacillota; Clostridia; Lachnospirales; Lachnospiraceae
Rfam family: Ribosomal protein L10 leader
About the family: This family is a putative r-protein leader autoregulatory structure found in B. subtilis and other low-GC Gram-positive bacteria. It is located in the 5' untranslated regions of mRNAs encoding ribosomal proteins L10 and L12 (rplJ-rplL).
Source: Rfam